Molecule: ribosomal RNA, 1035 nt
Filed under: Alexandrium pacificum
Lineage: Eukaryota; Dinophyceae; Gonyaulacales; Pyrocystaceae
Description: partial large subunit ribosomal RNA
Rfam family: Eukaryotic large subunit ribosomal RNA
Source: RNAcentral
CAAUGAGGGUGAGAGUCCUGUUUGUCAUGUGCAGCCUUCUGUGCACGGUGUAUAUUUGCUGAGUCACACUCCUUGGCAUUGGAAUGCAAAGUGGGUGGUAAGUUUCAUGCAAAGGUAAAUAUGCAAUUGAGACUGAUAGCGCACAAGUACCAUGAGGGACAUAUGAAAAGGACUUUGAAAAGAGAAUUAAAUGAGUUUGUAUUUGCUAAACACAAAGUAAACAGACUUGAUUUCCUCAGUGAGAUUGUAGUGCUUGCUUAACAAUGGGUUUUGGCUGCAAGUGCAAUAAUUCUUGCUUUGUGUGCCAGUUUUUAUGUGGACAUUUGAUUACCUUUGCACAUGAAUGGUAAUUUUCCUGCGGGGUGUGGAUUGCAUAUGCAUGUAAUGAUUUGCAUGUUUGUUAAAUGUGUCUGGUGUAUUUGUUUGUGUCCUUGUCCUUGAGGUUGCUUUCUCCCUUGGGCUUACAUGCCCUGGCACACACAUUCUGGCAAAAUGCUUCUGCUUGACCCGUCUUGAAACACGGACCAAGGAGUCUAACAGAUGUGCAAGUUUGAAGGUGGUAUACCUGUGUGUGUAAUGAAAGUAUUGGCUGGGAUAUUUGCACCAGCAGCCGACUAAUUAGCAGACAGAGGUUUGAGUUGGAGCAUAUCUAUUAGGACCCGAAAGAUGGUGAACUAUGCUUGAACAGAAAGAAUUCAGAGGAAACUCUGAUGGAGGUUCGUAUCGAUACUGACGUGCAAAUCGUUCGUCAUAUUUGGGUAUAGGGGCGAAAGACUAAUCGAACCAUCUAGUAGCUGGUUCCCUCCGAAGUUUCCCUCAGGAUAGCUGGAGUUGCACAGUUUUAUCAGGUAAAGCGAAUGAUUAGAGGAAUUGGGGACAGAUGUGUCCUUGACCUAUUCUCAAACUUUAAAUGGGUAAUAUGUAGUGGUUGCUUGAUGGAACUUCUAAAAUGAAUGGCAAUAUUAGGUGGGCCAUUUUUGGUAAGCAGAACUGGCGAUGAGGGAUGAACCUAAUGCUGGGUUAAGGUGCUAAUUA